RNAcentral lists this long non-coding RNA (221 nucleotides) under Elaeis guineensis (African oil palm). Its description in RNAcentral is "long non-coding RNA (EGUI_LNC069989)". The record is from RNAcentral. Lineage: Eukaryota; Viridiplantae; Streptophyta; Magnoliopsida; Arecales; Arecaceae.
UCUAAGGGAUACUUAUACCUAUAUCCCAUCAGAGACAUUCUCGACAGCAGAAUACUCUGGAGUUGGUCACGUUCAAUGAUGAUGUACCCUUACAUCUCACCUGUAUGCCAUACCAGCGUCUCUACACUCUUUGGUUAAGAGGACAACCAACCCAUAUGGCCUACAGCGACCUAUGCUCGAUAGAAGCUGUCGUCCUUAUUAACAGCUUAUCAUUUGGUCGU